GAUGAACGCUGGCGGCGUGCCUAAUACAUGCAAGUCGAGCGAACGGACGAGAAGCUUGCUUCUCUGAUGUUAGCGGCGGACGGGUGAGUAACACGUGGAUAACCUACCUAUAAGACUGGGAUAACUUCGGGAAACCGGAGCUAAUACCGGAUAAUAUUUUGAACCGCAUGGUUCAAAAGUGAAAGACGGUCUUGCUGUCGCUUAUAGAUGGAUCCGCGCUGCAUUAGCGAGUUGGUAAGGUAACGGCUUACCAAGGCAACGAUGCAUAGCCGACCUGAGAGGGUGAUCGCCCACACUGGAACUGAGACACGGUCCAGACUCCGACGGGAGGCAGCAGUAGGUACUCUUCCGCAAUGGGCGAAAGCCUGACGGAGCAACGCCGCGUGAGUGAUGAAGGGCUUCGGAUCGUAAAACUCUGUUAUUAGGGAAGAACAUAUGUGUAAGUAACUGUGCACAUCUUGACGGUACCUAAUCAGAAAGCAACGGCUAACUACGUG
Molecule: ribosomal RNA, 497 nt
Filed under: uncultured bacterium
Lineage: Bacteria
Description: partial 16S ribosomal RNA
Rfam family: Bacterial small subunit ribosomal RNA
Source: RNAcentral